This 253-nucleotide ribosomal RNA is filed under the name uncultured bacterium. RNAcentral describes it as "partial 16S ribosomal RNA". It matches the Rfam family "Bacterial small subunit ribosomal RNA", at positions 524 to 776 of the family's 1533-position model. The record is from RNAcentral.
UACAGAGGGCCCAAGCGUUGUUCGGAUUCACUGGGCGUAAAGGGUGCGUAGGCGGUCGGGUAAGUCUGGCGUGAAAUCUCCAAGCCUAACUUGGAAACUGCGUUGGAUACUAUCCGGCUCGAGGAAUGGAGGGGAGACUGGAAUACUUGGUGUAGCAGUGAAAUGCGUAGAUAUCAAGUGGAACACCAGUGGCGAAGGCGAGUCUCUGGACAUUUCCUGACGUUGAGGCACGAAAGCCAGGGGAGCAAACGGG